CCUACGGGCGGCAGCAGUGGGGAAUAUUGGACAAUGGGGGGAACCCUGAUCCAGCCAUGCCGCGUGUGUGUAGAAGGCCCUCGGGUUGUAAAGCACUUUCAGUGAGGAAGAACGCCUGGUGGUUAAUACCCAUCAGGAAAGACAUCACUCACAGAAGAAGCACCGGCUAACUCCGUGCCAACAGCCGCGGUAAUACGGAGGGUGCGAGCGUUAAUCGGAAUUACUGGGCGUAAAGCGCGCGUAGGUGGCUUGAUAAGCCGGUUGUGAAAGCCCCGGGCUCAACCUGGGAACGGCAUCCGGAACUGUCAAGCUAGAGUGCAGGAGAGGAAGGUAGAAUUCCCGGUGUAGCGGUGAAAUGCGUAGAGAUCGGGAGGAAUACCAGUGGCGAAGGCGGCCUUCUGGACUGACACUGACACUGAGGUGCGAAAGCGUGGGUAGCAAACAGGAUUAGAUACCCGAGUAGUC
RNAcentral lists this ribosomal RNA (465 nucleotides) under Vreelandella stevensii. RNAcentral's name for it is "partial 16S ribosomal RNA". It matches the Rfam family "Bacterial small subunit ribosomal RNA", at positions 338 to 795 of the family's 1533-position model. The record is from RNAcentral. Lineage: Bacteria; Pseudomonadati; Pseudomonadota; Gammaproteobacteria; Oceanospirillales; Halomonadaceae.